Molecule: ribosomal RNA, 460 nt
Filed under: uncultured bacterium
Lineage: Bacteria
Description: partial 16S ribosomal RNA
Rfam family: Bacterial small subunit ribosomal RNA
Source: RNAcentral
CCUACGGGGGGCAGCAGUGAGGAAUAUUGGUCAAUGGGCGCGAGCCUGAACCAGCCAAGUCGCGUGAGGGAGGACGGCCCUACGGGUUGUAAACCUCUUUUGCCGGGGAGCAACGGGCGUCACGUGUGGCGCCACUGAGAGUACCCGGAGAAAAAGCAUCGGCUAACUCCGUGCCAGCAGCCGCGGUAAUACGGAGGAUGCGAGCGUUAUCCGGAUUUAUUGGGUUUAAAGGGUGCGUAGGCGGAUCGUUAAGUCAGUGGUCAAAUUGAGGGGCUCAACCCCUUCCCGCCAUUGAAACUGGUUGACUGGAGUAUAUUUGAGGUAGGCGGAAUGCGUGGUGUAGCGGUGAAAUGCAUAGAUAUCACGCAGAACUCCGAUUGCGAAGGCAGCUUACUAAACUAUAACUGACACUGAAGCACGAAAGCGUGGGGAUCAAACAGGAUUAGAUACCCCGGUAGUC